Molecule: RNA transcript, 2176 nt
Organism: Enhydra lutris kenyoni (northern sea otter)
Lineage: Eukaryota; Metazoa; Chordata; Mammalia; Carnivora; Mustelidae
Gene: TCP10L3
Gene name: t-complex 10
Exons: 4
Source: RefSeq, a predicted model, not a curated record
GAUGAAAAUGUGGAGGUUCAGGGCCCGGGGAGUUCUGAACGACCGCAGCGCCCAUCUCCGGUUUCCGUUCCCGUAUUAACGGUUGUAAUGAGAGGCGUCUGCUCCCUGCUCCGAAAUUCCACCCCGGCCAAAUCUGACCACUUGCGAGGGCGGCCGUUAGAAUCCUGGUGCAGUCGCAGCCGUGGCAUCCCAGCCGUGCGCCCUGUCACUGGCCCGAGGUAACCCCACGCCCGUUUGUCCGCCAGGCAGCGCCAACACGGAGAGCCUAGAAGACCCAGGUUUACGGUUUCGCAGACGCUUGUACCACGCGCACGACCCAUCCGAGUGGUCUGGCCAUCGUGCGGUUCCCCAAGCAGACAGGAACGGCGACAGGACCAUCGUGUUCAGCAAUGGGCAGAGGGAAAUCCAAACGGCCGGGUUCACGCAGCGGGAAUACCCCGAUGGCACCGUCAGGACCGUGUACUGCACGGGCUCCCAGGAAACCCGGUCCGCCUCCGGGACUGUGAGGAUCAGGCUGCCUAGACACUAACAGCGCGACGGCAGUGAGCGGGCCUUGUCCUCACGCGGAGACUCCCCCAGUCCCCGGGGAGGAAACCCUUCUGGAACCAUCUUGUCACGAGAUGUGGGUUUGUGUUGUGUUUUCGAUGAGCUCUCGUGCUCUGCUCUGCCGGACGUGAGCCGUCCUGUGUCAGUAGCAUAACCGCGUCAACCAGUGUCACCCGUGCCGUGUUACGGAAGCCGCCAGGACGCCGGUGACGCUGUCUGAAGUGACCCAGGGACAGCGUGCUCUCAGCUCUGGAGGAGGGCAGAGGCAUUCCCCGGGAUGCUGCCCCGGACGGAGGCCUUUUCCUUCCCGAGGACCACGGCCCGGUCACUGGUCAGUUAACAAGUGAAACUAAUCUGUUACAGAAAAGCUGCCUUUGCUUUGGCUAAAAAAGAGAAAGAAAGAGAGAAAGAAAAGAACGUGCCGAUUGUUUUAUUUUGAAUCGGCUUAUCCCGAGAACUUCCACUGCAGUAAACAGGACGGCGGGCUGGGGUGCGGGACGAAGAGAACGGAGCUUCUGUGCAGGGACGGGGAGCGGGAACUAACGUUCGUGUUUGUCGGUGAACCGCGUUCAGGCCCCAGACGACGGGCCUGGCCGGUGGUGCCUGACGUGUCCCUGCCAGCUCUGGAGCGGUCUCGCUCGGCGAUCCGGAAUCAGAGCCGGAUGACUCACGCGGGGCUUGGGGCGCGCUGGCCGUCGGGACACACUCAGGACCACGCGCCCUGAGCCGCACCUGCCAGCCGCUGGAUCGCGCCCCAGUCCCGUUCCUCGCGCCUCCUCAAGGCUUGGCGCGGGACAGGAAAGGUCUGGGUUCAGAGCGUGACGCUCUAGCUCCGGCACACUCCCGCCCACCUGCCCUGUCUGCCUCUGCCCUCCCACCCACCAGUGCCCUCUCCCAGCACACCUCAGGGACAGGCCCUUCCCGAGGACCAGCCCUGUCUCACCCAAGCCCCCUCUGUUGUCCUUCCCAGGCUUGUGCGGCCGCCUCUGCUCUAGAAAGCUCCCCACGGAUCCCGCUCCCGGCAGUCGGGCAGGUCCCCCCAGUCCUCUGGCCCCCUUGUCCCAGGCUUGUCCCCAGCUGCGUUCCCACCACCUACUUACCUGUGUCCCUCCCAAGGGGCCUGGAGCAAGUUCGGGCAGACAUCAGGUCUCCCACAUCUUUGACGCCCUCCCCGCAACGGUGAGGAGAGGGCCUGGAGGUUUCAGAAGUUAGUUCUGGUGUAAGUGAGCAGGUCCGUAACAGGACACGGUCCUCGUAUGUCUGAUUAUCGUUGGUUCUGUAAAAUCAGAAGCACUUUGAAGGAGGACUGCCACAGUCACAAUUAGCACUGUUUAAUGCCCAGUUUAUCCAAUGUAGCUUUGAAAUGACUUUUCCUGAGCAUUUGAAGAUUGGUGCUAAUUAGAUUAGACGUCCUUAAAUAACUAAACUUUCCUUUGUAAGGUUCAGUGCGGCUGGUGCUUUAGAAUAAACACCCCACGCAAAAGAUAAAACCCGAUGCUUAACGACCAUUUCACACGCUCACACCUUGGACCAAUCCUUCAGCCUGGAUUAGUUUCUCACUCGUCCGUAGUUAAUUUUCAUGCCUUCCCAGAAUUGUCACUACAUUCAUUUUGUCUUUUAAAAAUUUUGU